UGGGGAAUCUUGCGCAAUGGACGAAAGUCUGACGCAGCGACGCCGCGUGGGGGAUGAAGGCUUUCGGGUUGUAAACCCCUGUUGCCCGGGACGAACUUCUCCUUUCGAGGAGAUUGACGGUACCGGGUGAGGAAGCACCGGCUAACUCUGUGCCAGCAGCCGCGGUAAUACAGAGGGUGCGAGCGUUGUCCGGAAUCACUGGGCGUAAAGGGCGCGUAGGUGGCGACCCAAGUCGAUGGUGAAAGCUCGCCGCUCAACGGCGAGUCGGCCACCGAUACUGGGUUGCUGGAGCACUGUAGAGGCAGAUGGAAUUCCGGGUGUAGCGGUGGAAUGCGUAGAGAUCCGGAAGAACACCGGUGGCGAAGGCGGUCUGCUGGGCAGUUGCUGACACUGAGGCGCGACAGCGUGGGGAGCAAACA
RNAcentral lists this ribosomal RNA (419 nucleotides) under uncultured Gemmatimonadota bacterium. RNAcentral's name for it is "partial 16S ribosomal RNA". It matches the Rfam family "Bacterial small subunit ribosomal RNA", at positions 355 to 774 of the family's 1533-position model. RNAcentral also lists the same sequence under 1 other name. The record is from RNAcentral. Lineage: Bacteria; Pseudomonadati; Gemmatimonadota.